CAGAGUCGCCGACACCCAUCCCCCGCAGCUUCUCACCCAAUAGCAGAGGCUGGACAGUGUUGAAGGCACUCGAGAAAUCAAAAAAUGUGAUUCUCACCGUGUCUCCUCCACCAUCCAGGUGCGUAUGGGCUCGUUGCAGCAGGAAGAUGACAGCAUCAUCAACUCCUAAGUGCGGCUGGUAGGCAAAUUGUAGAGGGUCCAAAAACGUCAUCACCCUAGGCCUCAGCUUGGCAAGGAUCAGUCUCUCCAUAACCUUCAUCACAUGAGAUGUGAGAGCAACAGGUCUGUAGUUCUUUUUGCUGCUUUCCCCCUCUUUUACCACCAGAGGGUGCCAAGAAGCUGUUCCUUCCUGAGAGCAAUGUCGGUGGUUCCUGGAUUUCUGCACACCUGCAGUUAAUCAGAUCAUCUGGAGGAGUAUAUGAGGAGGGAGCUGCCAACACUUCAGCUCUAGAGUGUUAGCCAGUAUUUGGUUAUUCCUCGUGACACUGUGGAUGUUACCCACUGGUUGCCUGAGCUCCUGGCUUCCUCCAAGCAUUCCUCUCCUCGUGACACUGUGGAAAUUACCCACUGGCUGCCUGAGUUCCACUGACACCUCCACAGUUAACCAAACCUCCUUGGAUUACCCUGUUGGCAGUCCCACUCGCUCCUCGCCUCCUGUGACCCAAAGCUUAUCUGUCCGCCCUCCGCCGCAGCCUCGUCGGUCAAGCAGCAACCCUCCACCUGAACCAAACCUCGGUAACCAGUGAUUCUUCCCCCCAGACAAGACCUACCUCCACCCAAUGCUCCGGUAAUCCAGAUUGCAGACUUUCCCCAGAACCUUAUUGUUGAUUAUUAUUUUAUGUUUACAAUAAACUUAUUUGACUGA
This is a long non-coding RNA of Poecilia latipinna (sailfin molly), 865 nucleotides long. RefSeq lists it as uncharacterized. The transcript has 3 exons. Lineage: Eukaryota; Metazoa; Chordata; Actinopteri; Cyprinodontiformes; Poeciliidae. The record is from RefSeq and is a predicted model, not a curated record.